RNAcentral lists this long non-coding RNA (1226 nucleotides) under Aquilegia coerulea. RNAcentral describes it as "long non-coding RNA (ACOE_LNC000237)". Lineage: Eukaryota; Viridiplantae; Streptophyta; Magnoliopsida; Ranunculales; Ranunculaceae. The record is from RNAcentral.
UCGAUUUGUACACUGUAAUUAAUUUUGUGGUCAUGUUUCCUUAAAGCAAUUUUUUUUCGUAGGUGUUAAUGUUAACUUCGUAGUUAGAAUAUUUCCUACACAGUUUUAAGAUUUUAGAAAAGUACAUGUUCAAAUACUAAUUUUGUUUUUGCUUCACUGAAAAAUGUAUUACUCUUACUAUUCGUUGUUGCUGCAGUCAAACAUGAUUCUCUAUUUCUUAUGUCAUGGUCUAACCUUGAACAAACCUAAAAUUACAUGAUUUCAUGCCACGUUUAAUGUUUGAGGUCUAAUUUUCAAAUAUAUGUUGUUGAUAGAGCUUCUAUUGAAUAAACUUCAAGGUUAAAAAAAUUCAGAUAUCGAAGUUUGGGUUAAAUAUUUUGUGAAAUGCAUAUAUAGGUAAUUAAAAUGAUUGAGAGCUAAAAGUAAUGUUUUGGCCAAGAAGGAUUCUAUGGACUGUACAGAGGAUUUAUGUUGUCUCUCUUUCUACACUCAGUUUAGGAUGAAUCACCCUUACGAUAUGCCAUACAAGUCUAGCCACCAUUUGGUAAGACUUAAAAGGUAACCAAAGCACCAGAAACAACCUUUAAAGCCCCAUUUUGCAGAACAAUCUUCAAUAGAACCUCCAUUAUUUCUUUAAGGGAUAGUGGCAUGAUGAAUAUAUAGAAUGAAUACAUUAUACAUAAUGAUGACAUAUGUACAUGUUCAGAAAUAGUCAUUUUCUGUGUAGAUUGAAAAUUAACUCCAGAAGUUUGCCUAAAUUAACCUCCAAGACUAAAGUGAAUGUUCCCAUGCUCUGAAGUUCUCUUGAAUGUGUAUACAUUGAGGUUAGAGGUACAUAAUGUGUGUACCAAUUCAGUGGAGACAAAGUACUGAUUUAUCUUGAAUGUGUAGACAUUGAGCCUAAAUUGUUUUGAAUCAGUGAUAUUCAUUGGUAAUUGAGACAAAGUACUGAUUUGUCUUUAAAUUCAGUGAAGACUGGCGAGGUAUCACAUUUUUGGCAUUCACACGGUUUCAUUACUUCACACUGUCCUACUAAUAUUAUAGAGUUUAUUAGUUUAUUUUGUUUUCAUGCUAUUAUUACUAAAUGGUUUUAUUUCUUGAUUAUCUGGUGUAUGAAGGGGAAUUAGUCCUUAUAAAUGUGAGGCUUCCUGUAAUCAAUUAGCAUAAAGAGGUCGAUCACAAGAUGGUUAACCAUUACAAAAUUUUGCAUUUUCUUACUUAACCCA